GCAUACCGAUGUAGAAAAGCUGCGGAUUCUUGUCGAAGACCACGCCCUUGUAGAGAUGGUCGGCCCAAAGGCGGUUGGCGGUCU
RNAcentral lists this small RNA (84 nucleotides) under Sinorhizobium meliloti 2011. Its description in RNAcentral is "putative ncRNA". Lineage: Bacteria; Pseudomonadati; Pseudomonadota; Alphaproteobacteria; Hyphomicrobiales; Rhizobiaceae. The record is from RNAcentral.